RNAcentral lists this transfer RNA (70 nucleotides) under Marmota marmota marmota (Alpine marmot). It matches the Rfam family "tRNA". From Rfam's summary of the family: Transfer RNA (tRNA) molecules are approximately 80 nucleotides in length. Their secondary structure includes four short double-helical elements and three loops (D, anti-codon, and T loops). Further hydrogen bonds mediate the characteristic L-shaped molecular structure. tRNAs have two regions of fundamental functional importance: the anti-codon, which is responsible for specific mRNA codon recognition, and the 3' end, to which the tRNAs corresponding amino acid is attached (by aminoacyl-tRNA synthetases). tRNAs cope with the degeneracy of the genetic code in two manners: having more than one tRNA (with a specific anti-codon) for a particular amino acid; and 'wobble' base-pairing, i.e. permitting non-standard base-pairing at the 3rd anti-codon position. Lineage: Eukaryota; Metazoa; Chordata; Mammalia; Rodentia; Sciuridae. RNAcentral also lists the same sequence under 1 other name. The record is from Rfam by way of RNAcentral.
UGUAUGUAGCUCAGUGAUAGAGCACUUGCCUAGCAUGAGCAAGUCCUGGGUUCCAUCCCCAGCACUAUAA